RNAcentral lists this ribosomal RNA (429 nucleotides) under Triticum aestivum (bread wheat). RNAcentral describes it as "partial small subunit ribosomal RNA". Lineage: Eukaryota; Viridiplantae; Streptophyta; Magnoliopsida; Poales; Poaceae. The record is from RNAcentral.
AUGGAGCAUGCCCACAUGAGGCUAAUAAAUUUUUUGGGGCAAGGCUAUCUCACGCCCACUUGCCCACGGUCGAUUUCCGACAGGCCCCCGAUGGCACCGCCGCAUGCUCCUGGAGGGGGCGAUGACGUGACUGUGGCGCAGUGCCCAAUCUGCAUGGAGGAGCUGGUGCCCAACAGCAGCCGCGGAUUCGUCACAAGAUUGCCCGGCUGCCUGCACUCCUUCCACGAAAGCUGCAUCGCACAAUGGUUCUGCAGGGCGGCCACGUGUCCGUGCUGCCGGCGCGACAUGGCAGCGUACAAUAACCGCGCGUACCCGCUGAACAUGACAUCGCUCUACUCGGAGACGACCAUGACGGUUGCGCUGCCCAUUCCGCGCCGUCCUCAACAACGCCGUACGGCUCCCUUCACGUCCCAGGGGCCACUAAACUGA